UGAGCAACCUGCCCUUGACUCUGGAAUAAACAGCUGGAAACAGCUGCUAAUACCGGAUACGACCUCCGAUGGCAUCGUCUGGAGGUGGAAAGCUCCGACGGUCAAGGAUGGGGCUCGCGGCCUAUCAGCUUGUUGGUGAGGUAACGGCUCACCAAGGCUUCGGACGGGUAGCCGGCCUGAGGAGGGCGACCGGCCACACGUGGGACUGAGAUACGGCCCAGACCUCCGUAGGGACGG
Molecule: ribosomal RNA, 237 nt
Filed under: uncultured bacterium
Lineage: Bacteria
Description: partial 16S ribosomal RNA
Rfam family: Bacterial small subunit ribosomal RNA
Source: RNAcentral